This is a long non-coding RNA of Chlorocebus sabaeus (green monkey), 1815 nucleotides long. RefSeq lists it as uncharacterized. NCBI's taxonomy places the organism in Eukaryota, Metazoa, Chordata, Mammalia, Primates, Cercopithecidae. The record is from RefSeq and is a predicted model, not a curated record.
CAGGACUCCACGGAGUCUGCGCGGAAGGGCGGGACGAACUGUGGCUAGGGUGGAGGUGGGAGGUCGGGGGCGUCCCAGCGCGUUAAGCGUGCGAGUGAGCGAGGUGUACCAGCGGGCAUGGAUGACAGGAAAGAAUGCCUAUCCAGAAAAACACAAAACACACACGUCAGGCCUCUUGAGCCCAAGCCUGCAUAUUUACAUCCAGAUGGCCUGAAGCAACUGAAGAAUCACAAAAGAAGUGAAAAUGCUGAGGCAACUGAAGAAUCACAAAAGAAGUGAAAAUGACCGGUUCCUGUCUUAACUGAUAAGACAAUCCCCUGUCCUCCUGCUCAUUGCUCCGUUAAAAAGAUCCACCUACAACCUCGGUGCUCAGACCAACCAGCCCAAGGAACAUCUCACCAAUUUUAAAUUGGAUUCCCAGCCAUAUGAAGACACCCUAGCUGGAUGAUCAGUUCUUGUUAAGAAUCUGACCCGUCAAACUCUACAACCUCGAUGGACUGGACUCUACUUAGUCAUCUGUAAUACCCCAACUGCCGUCCUCCUGCGGGACCCUCCCCAUUGGGUUCACCGUUCCAGAAUAAAGCCGUGUCCAUUGGACAGCCAGCCUGAUCUCUUCCUCUUAGAAGUCACAAGUACUCACCCCUACUUCCCUUAAACUCACCCACAUUUCUGAAGAACAUAGUAACCCUUAUGAGCCUAAUACCUCCUUUCAUUUUGUUAGGUCUAUUCUUCCUUACUGCAACAGGGCUUUACGCAGUCACCCCCACUACUUAGACUACAUCCCAAAAACUUCUCAUCCCUGCUAUCUUCUGUCUAGUCAUACUCCUAUUCUUCGUUUUCACCUAUCCAUAAAUGCCCUGCCCUUGUCUACACUGCCGGCUUAUACUUUUUCUCCAAACCAUCAUAGCUGGUCCUGGUCUUACCCCCUAACCACCACUCUUAACUCCCUCUUGGAAUGGAUACAUGACCUCUGCUGGAAAAGCACACUCCAAUUCUUUCACCCACUUUACAUUUCCAGUUUUGCCUUACACAAGGUCUCGUCUUCCUUUGUGGCUCCUCCACCUACAUGUGUCUGCCUGUUAAUUAGACAGGCACAUGUACACUAGUUUUCCUUACCCCCAAAAAUCAAUUUGCAAAUAAGACUGAACAGCUUCCUGUUCCCCUCAUGACACCAACACUUCACUAGUAUUUUAUUUUGUUUUUCUUAUUAUUAAUAUAAGAAGACAGGAAUAGGCCUUGACUUACUCACUGCUGAAAAAGGAAGACUCUGUAUAUUUUUAAAUGAAGAUUGUUGUUUUUACCUAAAUCAAUCUGGCCUGGUAUAUGACAACAAAAAAACUCAAGGAUAGAGCCCCAAAACUGGCCAACCAAGCAAAUAAUCAUGCUGAACCCUGUUAGGCACUCUCCAAUUUGAAGUCCUGGGUUCUCCCAAUUCUUAGUCGUUUAAUACUUGUUUUUCUCCUCUUAUUCAGACCUUGUGUCUUCCGUUUAGUUUCUCAGUCCAUACGAAACCGUAUCCAGGCCAUCACCAACCAUCCUAUACGACAAAUGCUCCUUCUGACAACCCCAGAAUAUCACCCGUUUCCAUAAAAUCUUCCUUCUGCUUCAUCUCUCCCACUCUAGGUUCCCGCGCCACCCCUAAUCCUGCUCGAAGCAGCCCCGAGAAACAUCGCCCAUUCUCUCUCCUUACCACCCCCCCAAAAUUUUCCCCUCGCCGACACUUCACCACUAUCUUGUUUUGUUUCUCUUAUUGCUGUAAGAAGACAGGAAUGUCAGGCCUCUGAGCCCAAGCCUGCACAUACACAUCCAGAUGGC